Dasypus novemcinctus (nine-banded armadillo) is the source of this 73-nucleotide microRNA precursor. The record is from Ensembl. Lineage: Eukaryota; Metazoa; Chordata; Mammalia; Cingulata; Dasypodidae.
GCGGCGGCGGCGGGGGCGGUAUCCCGGCCGGCCUGUGAGGGAUGCGCCGCCCACUGCCCCGCGCCGCCUGACC